RNAcentral lists this ribosomal RNA (498 nucleotides) under uncultured Glomeromycotina. RNAcentral's name for it is "partial small subunit ribosomal RNA". It matches the Rfam family "Eukaryotic small subunit ribosomal RNA", at positions 591 to 1091 of the family's 1831-position model. Lineage: Eukaryota; Fungi; Glomeromycota. The record is from RNAcentral.
CCAAUAGCGUAUAUUAAAGUUGUUGCAGUUAAAAAGCUCGUAGUUGAAUUUCGGGAUCAAAUUGUCGGUCGUGCCUCGGUACGAACUGGUAUUAUUGGUUCCUACCUUCUGAAGAACCGCGAUGUCAUUAAUUUGGUGUCGUGGGGAAUCAGGACUGUUACUUUGAAAAAAUUAGAGUGUUUAAAGCAGGCUUACGCUUGAAUACAUUAGCAUGGAAUAAUGAAAUAGGACGUUUGAUUCUAUUUUGUUGGUUUCUAGGAUUGACGUAAUGAUUAAUAGGGAUAGUUGGGGGCAUUAGUAUUCAAUUGUCAGAGGUGAAAUUCUUGGAUUUAUUGAAGACUAACUACUGCGAAAGCAUUUGCCAAGGAUGUUUUCAUUAAUCAAGAACGAAAGUUAGGGGAUCGAAGACGAUCAGAUACCGUCGUAGUCUUAACCAUAAACUAUGCCGACUAGGGAUCGGAUGAUGUUAAUUUUUUAAUGACUCAUUCGGCGCCUUAC